RNAcentral lists this ribosomal RNA (253 nucleotides) under uncultured bacterium. RNAcentral describes it as "partial 16S ribosomal RNA". It matches the Rfam family "Bacterial small subunit ribosomal RNA", at positions 524 to 776 of the family's 1533-position model. The record is from RNAcentral.
GACGAACCGUGCGAACGUUGUUCGGAAUCACUGGGCUUAAAGGGCGCGUAGGCGGGCUCGCAAGUCAGGGGUGAAAUCCCACGGCUCAACCGUGGAAGUGCCUUUGAUACUGCGGGCCUUGAGGGAGGUAGGGGCGUGCGGAACUUCCGGUGGAGCGGUGAAAUGCGUAGAUAUCGGAAGGAACACCGGUGGCGAAAGCAGCGCGCUGGACCUCUUCUGACGCUGAGGCGCGAAAGCCAGGGGAGCAAACGGG